ACACCUCAACUCUCAUGGUCUGCCAUGAUGAGCUUGGACUUUGGGGGUCUUGCCGGCCUAGCGUCGGCUCCUCUCAAAUGGAUCAGCUUGCCAGUGUUUGGUGGCAUCACGGGUGUGAUAAUUAUCUACGCUUGUGGUUUUCCACCAUGUAACCUUCAGCAAUGGAGGUUCGCUGGAGCUCACAGAUGUCCCUCCUUGGUGAGGACGGCUUUGAAC
This 216-nucleotide unclassified non-coding RNA is filed under the name uncultured Tomentella. Its description in RNAcentral is "sequence contains ITS2". The record is from RNAcentral. Lineage: Eukaryota; Fungi; Basidiomycota; Agaricomycetes; Thelephorales; Thelephoraceae. RNAcentral also lists the same sequence under 1 other name.